GACGAACGCUGGCGGCGUGCCUAAUACAUGCAAGUAGAACGCUGAAGAGAGGAGCUUACUCUUCUUGGAUGAGUUGCGAACGGGUGAGUAACGCGUAGGUAACCUGCCUUGUAGCGGGGGAUAACUAUUGGAAACGAUAGCUAAUACCGCAUAACAAUGGAUGACACAUGUCAUUUAUUUGAAAGGGGCAAUUGCUCCACUACAAGAUGGACCUGCGUUGUAUUAGCUAGUAGGUGAGGUAAUGGCUCACCUAGGCGACGAUACAUAGCCGACCUGAGAGGGUGAUCGGCCACACUGGGACCGAGACACGGCCCAGACUCCUACGGGAGGCAGCAGUAGGGAAUCUUCGGCAAUGGGGGCAACCCUGACCGAGCAACGCCGCGUGAGUGAAGAAGGUUUUCGGAUCGUAAAGCUCUGUUGUAAGUCAAGAACGGGUGUGAGAGUGGAAAGUUCACACUGUGACGGUAGCUUACCAGAAAGGGACGGCUAACUACGUG
This 497-nucleotide ribosomal RNA is filed under the name uncultured bacterium. RNAcentral's name for it is "partial 16S ribosomal RNA". It matches the Rfam family "Bacterial small subunit ribosomal RNA", at positions 28 to 507 of the family's 1533-position model. The record is from RNAcentral.